This 253-nucleotide ribosomal RNA is filed under the name uncultured bacterium. Its description in RNAcentral is "partial 16S ribosomal RNA". It matches the Rfam family "Bacterial small subunit ribosomal RNA", at positions 524 to 776 of the family's 1533-position model. The record is from RNAcentral.
GACGGAGGAUGCAAGCGUUAUCCGGAAUGAUUGGGCGUAAAGCGUCCGCAGGCGGCAGUUCAAGUCUGCUGUCAAAGACCGGGGCUUAACUUCGGAAAGGCAGUGGAAACUGAACAGCUAGAGUAUGGUAGGGGCAGAGGGAAUUCCUGGUGUAGCGGUGAAAUGCGCAGAUAUCAGGAGGAACACCAACGGCGAAGGCAGCUUGCUGGGACGGUACUGACGCUGAGGCGCGAAAGCGUGGGGAGCGAACAGG